UACAGAGACUGCAAGCGUUAUUCGGAUUCACUGGGCGUAAAGGGUGCGUAGGUGGCCAGGUAAGUUCGGUGUGAAAGCUCGGAGCUUAACUCCGAAAUGUCAUUGAAUACUAUCUGGCUAGAGGGUCGGAGGGGAGACUGGAAUUCUCGGUGUAGCAGUGAAAUGCGUAGAUAUCGAGAGGAACACCAGUGGCGAAGGCGAGUCUCUGGACGACACCUGACACUGAGGCACGAAAGCUAGGGGAGCAAACAGG
Molecule: ribosomal RNA, 253 nt
Filed under: uncultured bacterium
Lineage: Bacteria
Description: partial 16S ribosomal RNA
Rfam family: Bacterial small subunit ribosomal RNA
Source: RNAcentral